Molecule: ribosomal RNA, 811 nt
Filed under: uncultured bacterium
Lineage: Bacteria
Description: bacterial SSU rRNA
Rfam family: Bacterial small subunit ribosomal RNA
Source: RNAcentral
AGAGUUUGAUCAUGGCUCAGAACGAACGCUGGCGGCGUGCCUAACACAUGCAAGUCGAACGUGAUUAGAGAGCUUGCUCUCUAUGAAAGUGGCGCACGGGUGAGUAACGCGUAGAUAAUCUGCCUGAUGAUCGGGGAUAACACUUCGAAAGGGGUGCUAAUACCGGAUAAGCUCACGGAGUCUUUGGAUUCUGCGGGAAAAGGGGGGGACCUUCGGGCCUUCUGUCAUCAGAUGAGUCUGCGUACCAUUAGCUAGUUGGUAGGGUAAAGGCCUACCAAGGCGACGAUGGUUAGCUGGUCUGAGAGGAUGAUCAGCCACACUGGAACUGAGACACGGUCCAGACUCCUACGGGAGGCAGCAGUGGGGAAUUUUGCGCAAUGGGGGAAACCCUGACGCAGCAACGCCGCGUGAGUGAUGAAGGCUCUUGGGUCGUAAAGCUCUGACAGAGGGAAAGAAGUGUAUUGUGGCUAAUAUCCACGAUACUUGACGGUACCCUCAAAGGAAGCACCGGCUAACUCCGUGCCAGCAGCCGCGGUAAUACGGGGGGUGCAAGCGUUGUUCGGAUUUAUUGGGCGUAAAGCGCGUGUAGGCGGUUUGUUAAGUCUGUUGUGAAAGCCCUGGGCUCAACCCGGGAAGUGCACUGGAUACUGGCAAACUUGAAUACGGGGGAGGAGAGUGGAAUUCCUGGUGUAGGAGUGAAAUCCGUAGAUAUCAGGAGGAACACCGGUGGCGAAGGCGGCUCUCUGGACCGAUAUUGACGCUGAGACGCGAAAGCGUGGGUAGCAAACAGGAUUAGAUACCCUAGUAGUCC